GGAGGAAUCUCAGUCCUGCACCAUUGCAAUUAAUCCAUACUUUUCUGGAAGUCCUGAAAUUACAAAUGAUGCAGAAAUGAAGAGGUUGAUGUGGCCUAAAGGGAAGAGGAGACACAGAAACGCAGAAAGUCUCCCUCCACUGAACUAAAAACCAGGGACCUAACACCUUGUCAA
Molecule: long non-coding RNA, 174 nt
Organism: Cynocephalus volans (Philippine flying lemur)
Lineage: Eukaryota; Metazoa; Chordata; Mammalia; Dermoptera; Cynocephalidae
Exons: 3
Source: RefSeq, a predicted model, not a curated record